This is a long non-coding RNA of Mus musculus (house mouse), 982 nucleotides long. RefSeq annotates it as predicted gene 11728. The transcript has 4 exons. The record is from RefSeq and is marked validated. NCBI's taxonomy places the organism in Eukaryota, Metazoa, Chordata, Mammalia, Rodentia, Muridae. The annotation marks the transcript as partial.
GGGGUUAGAUUUCUCUUUCUACCAUGUGGGACCAGGUAUCAAACUCAGUGGUUCGACUCUGGUGGCAAGCACUGAGCCAGCUGGCCUGCCCUCACUGUGCCUUUGUGAUCGAUGAAGCCUGCUGCUUUGUUCUGUCGCCAGGCAUCACCCACACAUUUAUGCCCGGCACACAUUGUGUUCUCUUCCCUGCAAGAUCACGGCACUCAUGACCAACCACGAAUUGAAUCUGUCCAGGGUCAGGUGUGGGUUCAGCUGCCCCAUAACCCUAGAAUGGAGUUCCUUCCUGCCAGCAGGGUGAAGAGGAAGUGAUUGGAAUAGACACUGUCUUUCCAGAAGGUUCCAAGGGUCUUAGUGCUGGAGACAGAAGAACAGUGAAGGAUACACCAGCCUUCCUUCGUGCUGCUGCAGCCCUCAGAUGGAGAUGUAGAACUCUGCACCAUGCCUGCCUGGAUGCUGCCAUGUUCCUGCCUUGAUGAUAAUGGACUGAACCUCGGAACCUAGUGUCCUUCAGUGAUUCGGGGUGAACUUCAUCUCAGAUGGACUGAUCCUUUAAUUUCUCCAAAGCAGCCCACUUCUGUGGUCAACGUGAGUGGCCGAUGAGCCAUUGUAUUUGAGUGUCUCUCCUUCCCACGGGGAAGUCUAAGCUUUCAUUGGUUUUCAUGCUCUGAUCAGCUCCAGGAUGGGGAGAUGAGAGCUGACUGUUGAAAGUGGCAGUGGUUUGAUCUGCGUGUGUUGGCACAUGCCCGUCCUGCAGCACUUGGGAGGCAGCAGCAGGAGAUUCCGGAGUUCAAGGCUUGUAGUUCCGCUGCUCUUCUAGAGGACCGGACAUCACUGAUGUGAGAAAGUUCACAGUGGCCUGUAACUCCAGCCACAGUGGGUAUGAUGCCCUCUUCUGGUCUCCUCAGGCAACUUUGCACAUGUGACAUACACACACACACACAUAUAAAUGAGAAUAAUAAAAACAAAUCUUUAUUUAAAAAAC